AUGAACGCUGGCGGCGUGCCUAAUACAUGCAAGUCGAGCGAACGGACGAGAAGCUUGCUUCUCUGAUGUUAGCGGCGGACGGGUGAGUAACACGUGGAUAACCUACCUAUAAGACUGGGAUAACUUCGGGAAACCGGAGCUAAUACCGGAUGAUAUUUUGAACCGCAUGGUUCAAAAGUGAAAGACGGUCUUGCUGUCACUUAUAGAUGGAUCCGCGCUGCAUUAGCUAGUUGGUAAGGUAACGGCUUACCAAGGCAACGAUGCAUAGCCGACCUGAGAGGGUGAUCGGCCACACUGGAACUGAGACACGGUCCAGACUCCUACGGGAGGCAGCAGUAGGGAAUCUUCCGCAAUGGGCGAAAGCCUGACGGAGCAACGCCGCGUGAGUGAUGAAGGUCUUCGGACCGUAAAACUCUGUUAUUAGGGAAGAACAUAUGUGUAAGUAACUGUGCACAUCUUGACGGUACCUAAUCAGAAAGCCACGGCUAACUACGU
RNAcentral lists this ribosomal RNA (495 nucleotides) under uncultured bacterium. RNAcentral's name for it is "partial 16S ribosomal RNA". It matches the Rfam family "Bacterial small subunit ribosomal RNA", at positions 29 to 506 of the family's 1533-position model. The record is from RNAcentral.